UGGGGAAUAUUGGACAAUGGGCGCAAGCCUGAUCCAGCCAUGCCGCGUGAGUGAUGAAGGCCUUCGGGUUGUAAAGCUCUUUUGGCGGGGACGAUGAUGACGGUACCCGCAGAAUAAGCCCCGGCAAACUUCGUGCCAGCAGCCGCGGUAAGACGAAGGGGGCAAGCGUUGUUCGGAAUUACUGGGCGUAAAGGGCGCGUAGGCGGCUCUUUAAGUCAGGCGUGAAAGCCCUGGGCUCAACCUGGGAGUGGCGCUUGAUACUGGAGGGCUAGAGAGUGGGAGAGGUUGGUGGAAUUCCCAGUGUAGAGGUGAAAUUCGUAGAUAUUGGGAAGAACACCGGUGGCGAAGGCGGCCAACUGGACCAUUUCUGACGCUGAGGCGCGAAAGCGUGGGGAGCAAA
This 400-nucleotide ribosomal RNA is filed under the name uncultured bacterium. RNAcentral describes it as "bacterial SSU rRNA". It matches the Rfam family "Bacterial small subunit ribosomal RNA", at positions 355 to 772 of the family's 1533-position model. The record is from RNAcentral.